Molecule: long non-coding RNA, 2143 nt
Organism: Antechinus flavipes (yellow-footed antechinus)
Lineage: Eukaryota; Metazoa; Chordata; Mammalia; Dasyuromorphia; Dasyuridae
Exons: 2
Source: RefSeq, a predicted model, not a curated record
CACAAAAUUAAAGCAACAGAAGGAAUAUGCGAAACAAGUUAAGGAAUACAACAUGAAAGCUCUGUCCUCUGGAUCAAAACCACAAACAGCAAAACCUGAGAGUAAACCUUCCAUUUCUCGGCAGAAGGCUUUGGAAUAUGCUAAAAAAAUUCCGAAACCUAAACCAGUUUUGCCACCGAAUCUGAAUGAUCAAGAAUUGAAGCAAACGAGCAAUUCAUCUGUUUCUGGAAAAGAAAGGAAUUUACCUGAAAUCUCAUUACUAGAAGUGCUACAGAGCAGACACGAAAGAGAAAAACAGGCUGUUGCUGCUUUCAAAGUCCUUCACAUAGUAUAGAAAAUGUGUCCUUAUGAAGACCUAGUAGGGGCAAAAUUUAUGAAAAAAGGGAACUCCAAUACACAAUACAAUUGUUCCCUAUAGACAGGGACUGCCUUUUUUUCUAAUCAGGAUACAGUCUAUAUAUGUUUCUAUAGGAUUAAAAAUAUUGGGCCAUAUUACAUGGCUCCAGAAUCUGCUUUCUUUUGGGUCAGAAAUUAUAUUGAAAUCAUUUACUUUUCAAAUCAGUAAGAAUUUGAACAUUAAAGCCUUUUAGUUUAAUAAUAUUGGAUAUUUUGAUUUUUUAAUAUGCUUAUUUUUGUUUUAUAAAAUUCUACCAAUGAUGUUGUAUGAAAUUAAUUUGCUCAUACUUAUCUCUUUCUUGUUAAGGAAAAUAUUUUUAAAAGAAUUUCAUUUUUUCCCGCAAUAAAAUUUACAUAGACUAUUUGAUCACAAGUAAAUUUUGAAUCAAUAUUUUAUAAAAUUAUGAAAAUAAUAAAUGGAGUUUCAUAUAAUGUAUGUGUGUGCUUAUAUGGAAAAAUCCAGAAAUGGGAGCACAUUUAAUUGUACCCAUUCAAAAUGAGCAGAUUUUAACUUUCUCUUCUAAGAAAGCAUCAGUUAGAUUUAAUUGAGUAGAUCCAGAAGUACCCAACUGAAUUCAGGCACAUCUAGACAAAUGUUCUUGAAAAAAAAAUCAUUUCAAUACCACAUACAUUUAUUAAGCACUUACCAGAUGCUAGGCACUAGGUUAGAUACUAGGAAAACAAAGAAGAAAUACAACACAGUUCAUAUCUUCAAGGAGCAAAGGAGAAAGCCAGAUAAAAUGCUAAAAGAAAAUAUGAAGGGGAAAUCUUUUUCAACUAGGUUUCAUGGAAAUGACACGAAGUUGAGUCUUCAAAAAAGAGAAUUUCAAAAGUUGUUCAGGCAUAGGAAAUGAUCUGUAUAAGCGCCAACUUUAGAGAAUACAGGUAAAAUUGGGGAAACUUUGGCCAGUGAAAUUUGGCUAAGACAUAAAAGACAUAAAGAGGAAGGAGUGUGAAGGAAAAAAAGUUAAAGUUAAAUCGUAGGUGUGCUAGUUUAAGGAGUUUUUAUUUUAGCCUAUUUUAUUACAGUAGAUCUACUAAUGCAGAGGUGUAAUCUGAUUACACCAGAUGUCACUAAUGCAGAGAUGUGAUUUUAUUAUACAGGAUGUCUCAAAAGUCUUACUUGCUUUUAUGACCUUUAGAACUUAAAAAUUAUUGUUUUGGAGCAUGGAUUGGACAGGAACCUGAGAAUGGAGAAGGAAAUAAGGUUAGUGCAACAUAACCUAGGGAAGAGGUGAUAUGGACCUCAAAUAGGUGGUAGAAGUAUUUGUGUAGAAGAAGAGCCAGAUGCACAAAAUGUUUUAGAGAUUGAAUUGACAGGACCUUGAAAUGGAUUUGGGGUGAGGGAGAGAGUUAGAGAGAGAAAGGGGGGAGGAAUGAUAAAAAAAAGAAAGCUUCAAAGUUCUGUACCUGGAUUACUGGAUAGAUAGUAGAACAUCAAUAAAAAUAAAAAAAUUGGAGAAGAAACAGGUUUCAAGAAGACUCAUUUUUAUCUGGAUACAUAAAUUUUCUUAGGCCAUCUGCACAUCUCAAAUAAUUCAAAACAAUGUCAAUUGUACUCUUAUGCCACUGCAAUAACUUCCAAGAUGAUUCUAGACAAACUUAAAUAAUUGUACAGUUGCUAAUUCAUAUUUGGGUCAUUUAUUGAAUGUAAGUUUCGAUCAUUAGCUUUGCUAAUUUACUUGUUCUGCCUAAAAUAUAUCUGUAAAAUUUCCCAUUUCUUAAAAUAAAUCAUUAUUGGAGAAUA